UUUCAAUUCAUAAAUAUCUCC
RNAcentral lists this non-coding RNA (21 nucleotides) under Caenorhabditis elegans. Lineage: Eukaryota; Metazoa; Nematoda; Chromadorea; Rhabditida; Rhabditidae. The record is from RNAcentral.